GCAAUCAGCAUGCUGAUUAAGGUUGCUUGGUUUUUUACUAAACAUUAACUGAAUGAAAACGGUAGUCCUUGUUCUGCUUGGGGGGCUUUAAGGAAGCAAAUGGACUUUCAGAACAGAGAUUGUCAAUAAAGGUCUCUGCAGCUUACUCAUGGAGUAUGAAAAGGAGGCAGCUCUGCUGCAAGAUGUGCUAUAAUCCGAAGCACCACACAAGAAACAGACCCUUUUCUCCUUGUGCAUCUGCAAACAGAAUUUCUGUGGGGAAGCAAACUUACACUGAGAGAGACCUUGGGCAGGGUGAGGGAUGUAUACCAGGACGCAUAGAUCAUUCUAGAAAGAAUAUGGGCAAGAAAUGUUACAGUUUAAAAACUGUCCUCUUUUCUAAUUACAUGAAGAAGAAAGUCUCAGUUGGUGUUAACAAAGAGCUUGCUAACACUUUCAUUUUCCUUUUUUAAGAAACUGAAGAUGAGCCUCAGGCUCAUGAGUGUCUUCAGCAGAAACUACAUAGAGCUAGAGCUUAAUACCAUUGUAUGGUUUUUGUAAAUUAAAAAAAAUUCAAAAUGC
Mesocricetus auratus (golden hamster) is the source of this 561-nucleotide long non-coding RNA. RefSeq lists it as uncharacterized. The transcript has 2 exons. The record is from RefSeq and is a predicted model, not a curated record. NCBI's taxonomy places the organism in Eukaryota, Metazoa, Chordata, Mammalia, Rodentia, Cricetidae.